Molecule: ribosomal RNA, 498 nt
Filed under: uncultured bacterium
Lineage: Bacteria
Description: partial 16S ribosomal RNA
Rfam family: Bacterial small subunit ribosomal RNA
Source: RNAcentral
AUUGAACGCUGGCGGCAUGCCUUACACAUGCAAGUCGAACGGUAACGCGGGGCAACCUGGCGACGAGUGGCGAACGGGUGAGUAAUGCAUCGGAACGUACCCAGUUGUGGGGGAUAGCUCGGCGAAAGCCGGAUUAAUACCGCAUACGACCUACGGGUGAAAGCGGGGGAGCGCAAGACCUCGCGCAGUUGGAGCGGCCGAUGUCAGAUUAGGUUGUUGGUGGGGUAAAGGCUCACCAAGCCGACGAUCUGUAGCUGGUCUGAGAGGACGACCAGCCACACUGGGACUGAGACACGGCCCAGACUCCUACGGGAGGCAGCAGUGGGGAAUUUUGGACAAUGGACGCAAGUCUGAUCCAGCCAUUCCGCGUGCAGGAUGAAGGCCCUCGGGUUGUAAACUGCUUUUGUACAGAACGAAAAGGCUCUGGUUAAUACCUAGGGCUCAUGACGGUACUGUAAGAAUAAGCACCGGCUAACUACGUGCCAGCCGCCGCCGUAA